Lathyrus oleraceus (garden pea) is the source of this 107-nucleotide small nucleolar RNA. Lineage: Eukaryota; Viridiplantae; Streptophyta; Magnoliopsida; Fabales; Fabaceae. The record is from RefSeq and is a predicted model, not a curated record.
AUCUCAUGGUGAGGACACUACUUUAACAAUUCCUUGAAUCUCUCCCAUGCAUCAAACAAAUAAUCAUCAUCUCCUUGCCUAAAUGAAGUAAUCUCACUCCUCGUCAU